CUACGGGGGGCUGCAGUGAGGAAUAUUGCACAAUGGGGGGAACCCUGAUGCAGCAACGCCGCGUGGAGGAUGACGCAUUUCGGUGUGUAAACUCCUUUUAUAUGUCAAGAAAAUGACGGUAGCAUAUGAAUAAGCACCGGCUAACUCCGUGCCAGCAGCCGCGGUAAUACGGAGGGUGCAAGCGUUACUCGGAAUCACUGGGCGUAAAGGACGCGUAGGCGGGUUGAAAGUCAGGUGUGAAAUCCUACAGCUUAACUGUAGAACUGCACUUGAAACUUCUAAUCUAGAGUAUGGGAGGGGGAGAUGGAAUUAGUGGUGUAGGGGUAAAAUCCGUAGAUAUCACUAGGAAUACCUAAAGCGAAGGCGAUCUCCUGGAACAUUACUGACGCUAAGGCGUGAAAGCGUGGGGAGCAAACAGGAUUAGAUACCCUAGUAGUC
RNAcentral lists this ribosomal RNA (438 nucleotides) under uncultured bacterium. RNAcentral describes it as "partial 16S ribosomal RNA". It matches the Rfam family "Bacterial small subunit ribosomal RNA", at positions 339 to 795 of the family's 1533-position model. The record is from RNAcentral.